This 254-nucleotide ribosomal RNA is filed under the name uncultured bacterium. RNAcentral's name for it is "partial 16S ribosomal RNA". It matches the Rfam family "Bacterial small subunit ribosomal RNA", at positions 524 to 776 of the family's 1533-position model. The record is from RNAcentral.
UACGUAGGGGGCAAGCGUUGUCCGGAAUCAUUGGGCGUAAAGCGCGUGUAGGCGGCUGACUAAGUCCGCUCUGAAAGCCCGGGGCUCAACCCCGGGAGGCGGGUGGAUACUGGUCAGCUCGAGUCCGGAAGAGGAGUGUGGAAUUCCUGGUGUAGCGGUGAAAUGCGCAGAUAUCAGGAGGAACACCAAUGGCGAAGGCAGCACUCUGGGACGGUACUGACGCUGAGACGCGAAAGCGUGGGGGAGCAAACAGG